UCUUUGACAGGUAAGUCACUGAAGUAAGUGCUAAGGUGUUUUUAUUGUGUUGGUUGUGUAACGAGGUUCGAAAGACGAAAUUUAGGGCAGUGAUAGCAGAAAAUGGCUGGUUGCUUUGAAAAUGUGCAGCUUCCUCCUUGCGUGUGGUUUGAAGGCGACGACAAACGGAAUGCCGUGGCGUCUAUAAUAGCUGGUUUGCUGUUCUUUGCUGGCUGGUGGUUCAUUAUUGAUGUGGCUGCUGCAUAUCCUGACAACGCUCAGUUCAACAAGGCAUACCAUGUCUGUGGUGUUUUUGGGACUAUUUCAUUAUUCAUGAUAAACUCUGUAUCAAAUGCUCUCGUACGUGGAGAUGGCUACUCAGGAGGUUGCUUUGGUCCAAGAGGAGCACGCGCCUGGCUCUUCCUUGGCUUUGUUAUGGGAUUCGGUGCUGUCAUUGCCUCUUGCUGGAUCCUGUUUGCAGAAUACGUCACCAAUAAAAGCCAAGAAAGGUCAUAUCCAGGUGUUGGUCUUUUUCUACAGAAUGCAUUUAUUUUCAUCGGCUCCCUUGUAUUUAAGUUUGGUAGAGUCGAAGACCACUGGAACUGAACUGCGUACUGUGAUAUAUAAACUAGAGGUUUACUAGACAUUUUUCAAGUUGCCGCUUUUAUAUGCUGUUAGGUAUGUGGUUUAAAGAAAUUUUCACAGACUGGAGGAUUUAUCUCCUUGAUGUACAGCACUGGAAAAUUGUAUCAUCAUCACAUCAUUCGGCUCUGAGUAUUGUCAGUGGCAAAUUGAAGAAGCAGCAUGGAAGCAGUAAACUGUUGUCUGAACACGGAAGUGUGUGUCUAAAACCAAGCACCUGUUUGUGUAAUUUUUCAUCUGUUAGAAUGAAAUGCUUUUUUUUUUUUAAUUUGAAUUAUGGAAACUUAUGAGUUGCUGCUCUUGAUGUCUAGGCAAUCUUGUCAGUUUUUAAAAUUUUCACAAUAAUUAAACUAAAGUGUUUGCAAACAUUUCAUACAUACAAGCUGUAACCCUGAUAAUGAAGUUUUUUAUGAUAAAAUAAAUUGCAUUGUCUGCUUUGUAUAAUUCAGUUUUAAAUAUUGAUAUACUGUAUCACUUUUUCUGUAAACACCCAUGAAAUAUGUGCCUCUGCUUCUAGAGUACCACAAGAAAGUAAAGAGCAAGUAACAUAGACUCUUGCUAUUAGCUAAAGUUUUUUUCUGUACAUAAGGCACUCUGACUAAAGUAUACUGUGUGUUUAUCAUUGUUUUUGUGUGUGUGUGUGUGUGUGUGUGUGUGUGUGUGUGUGUGUGUGUGUGUUGUAUAGAUUAUUAUAGAAUCAGUUGAUGCAGGAAACAUGCUUCUAUCUUUCUGAUAAUUUCAGCCGCAGCCUCUCACAAGUUUAGUGUGAUGAACAAAACUUCAGAACACUUGCCUGUUGUCUGAUAUUAGGUCUGUUGUAUGCAUUUUUUAAGGGAGCUUUGGUGACUACUUUGUUAUAGCCCUAAUAUGUGAAGAGCAAAAAUUCCAAUUGAGAAUUUCUUAAGUUACCAGUCAUUUCUUGUGACAGUCCAUGCAUCAUAACAUGUCGUGGAAUCACAUGUAUUCAUUUAGUUUAAAAUCCAG
Schistocerca cancellata (South American locust) is the source of this 1605-nucleotide RNA transcript. It is a transcript of the gene named transmembrane protein 50B, with no coding region annotated. The record is from RefSeq and is a predicted model, not a curated record. NCBI's taxonomy places the organism in Eukaryota, Metazoa, Arthropoda, Insecta, Orthoptera, Acrididae. The transcript has 5 exons.